Zingiber officinale is the source of this 106-nucleotide small nucleolar RNA. The record is from RefSeq and is a predicted model, not a curated record. Lineage: Eukaryota; Viridiplantae; Streptophyta; Magnoliopsida; Zingiberales; Zingiberaceae.
AAACCUUGAUGAGGGCACUGUCUUUGAAGAAUCUUGAAUCUAUCCCAUGCUUCAAAUAGUGAUUUUCCAUGUGCCUGAGCAAAAUUCGUGAUGCAAUUCCUCAUAU